Molecule: ribosomal RNA, 184 nt
Filed under: Aeromonas enteropelogenes
Lineage: Bacteria; Pseudomonadati; Pseudomonadota; Gammaproteobacteria; Aeromonadales; Aeromonadaceae
Description: partial 23S ribosomal RNA
Rfam family: Bacterial large subunit ribosomal RNA
Source: RNAcentral
AGCUAAGUUCGGAAUCGAUAACCGCUGAAAGCAUCUAAGCGGGAAGCGAGCCCUGAGAUGAGUCAUCCCUGACCCCUUGAGGGUCCUGAAGGGCCGUUGGAGACCACAACGUUGAUAGGUGGGGUGUGUAAGCGCGGCGACGUGUUGAGCUAACCCAUACUAAUUACCCGUGAGGCUUAACCAU